UCCCCUGUAGCUCAAUGGUAGAGCGACCGGCUGUUAACCGGUAGGUUGUUGGUUCGAGUCCAACCGGGGGAGCCA
RNAcentral lists this transfer RNA (75 nucleotides) under Candidatus Altimarinota bacterium. RNAcentral's name for it is "tRNA-Asn". It matches the Rfam family "tRNA". From Rfam's summary of the family: Transfer RNA (tRNA) molecules are approximately 80 nucleotides in length. Their secondary structure includes four short double-helical elements and three loops (D, anti-codon, and T loops). Lineage: Bacteria; Candidatus Altimarinota. The record is from RNAcentral.